Molecule: ribosomal RNA, 200 nt
Filed under: uncultured eukaryote
Lineage: Eukaryota
Description: partial 18S ribosomal RNA
Rfam family: Eukaryotic small subunit ribosomal RNA
Source: RNAcentral
GCUCCAAUAGCGUAUAUUAAUGUUGCUGCAGUUAAAAAGCUCGUAGUUGGAUUUCGGGCCGGGGGUAUUGGUUGUCGUGUGUCGCAAGAUGCAUGUUUUGCAGCUGUUCUCCGGUCUUAUUCGGGAUUAUUUAUCUUCGUGUUGUCUGGCAUUUAGUUGUUGGAUGGCAUGGGGCCGUCAUUUACUGUGAACAAUUAGAG